Molecule: transfer RNA, 69 nt
Filed under: Ictidomys tridecemlineatus (thirteen-lined ground squirrel)
Lineage: Eukaryota; Metazoa; Chordata; Mammalia; Rodentia; Sciuridae
Description: Spermophilus tridecemlineatus (thirteen-lined ground squirrel) tRNA
Rfam family: tRNA
About the family: Transfer RNA (tRNA) molecules are approximately 80 nucleotides in length. Their secondary structure includes four short double-helical elements and three loops (D, anti-codon, and T loops). Further hydrogen bonds mediate the characteristic L-shaped molecular structure. tRNAs have two regions of fundamental functional importance: the anti-codon, which is responsible for specific mRNA codon recognition, and the 3' end, to which the tRNAs corresponding amino acid is attached (by aminoacyl-tRNA synthetases). tRNAs cope with the degeneracy of the genetic code in two manners: having more than one tRNA (with a specific anti-codon) for a particular amino acid; and 'wobble' base-pairing, i.e. permitting non-standard base-pairing at the 3rd anti-codon position.
Source: Rfam by way of RNAcentral
GGAGUUGUGGCUCAGUGGUAGAGCGCUUACCUAGCACAUGUGAGGCACUGAGUUCAAUCCUCAGCACCA